This 103-nucleotide transfer RNA is filed under the name Acidilobus saccharovorans 345-15. It matches the Rfam family "tRNA". From Rfam's summary of the family: Transfer RNA (tRNA) molecules are approximately 80 nucleotides in length. Their secondary structure includes four short double-helical elements and three loops (D, anti-codon, and T loops). The record is from Rfam by way of RNAcentral. Lineage: Archaea; Thermoproteati; Thermoproteota; Thermoprotei; Acidilobales; Acidilobaceae.
GGGCCCGUAGUCCAGUCUGGCAGGAUGCGGGGUACGCCAAUGCCGAGGACUUGGCGCCCGACUCGGGUCCCUGUGGUCGGGGGUUCAAAUCCCCCCGGGCCCA